GACGAACCGUGCAAACGUUGUUCGGAAUCACUGGGCUUAAAGGGCGCGUAGGCGGGCAAGCAAGUCGAAGGUGAAAUCCCACGGCUCAACCGUGGAAGUGCCCCCGAUACUGCUUGUCUUGAGGGAGAUAGGGGCGUGCGGAACUUCCGGUGGAGCGGUGAAAUGCGUAGAUAUCAUCAGGAACACCGGAGGCGAAGGCGGCCCACUGGGUCUUUUCUGACGCUGAGGGACGAAAGCUAGGGGAGCGAACGGG
RNAcentral lists this ribosomal RNA (253 nucleotides) under uncultured bacterium. Its description in RNAcentral is "partial 16S ribosomal RNA". It matches the Rfam family "Bacterial small subunit ribosomal RNA", at positions 524 to 776 of the family's 1533-position model. The record is from RNAcentral.